UUGCUGGAGGUAUCAGAAGUGCGAAUGCUGACAUAAGUAACGAUAAAGCGGGUGAAAAGCCCGCUCGCCGGAAGACCAAGGGUUCCUGUCCAACGUUAAUCGGGGCAGGGUGAGUCGACCCCUAAGGCGAGGCCGAAAGGCGUAGUCGAUGGGAAACGGGUUAAUAUUCCCGUACUUGGUGUUACUGCGAAGGGGGGACGGAGAAGGCUAUGUUGGCCGGGCGACGGUUGUCCCGGUUUAAGCGUGUAGGCUGGUUUUCCAGGCAAAUCCGGAAAAUCAAGGCUGAGGCGUGACGACGAGGCACUACGGUGCUGAAGCAACAAAUGCCCUGCUUCCAGGAAAAGCCUCUAAGCAUCAGGUAACAUCAAAUCGUACCCCAAACCGACACAGGUGGUCAGGUAGAGAAUACCAAGGCGCUUGAGAGAACUCGGGUGAAGGAACUAGGCAAAAUGGUGCCGUAACUUCGGGAGAAGGCACGCUGACACGUAGGUGAAGUGAUUUACUCAUGGAGCUGAAGUCAGUCGAAGAUACCAGCUGGCUGCAACUGUUUAUUAAAAACACAGCACUGUGCAAACACGAAAGUGGACGUAUACGGUGUGACGCCUGCCCGGUGCCGGAAGGUUAAUUGAUGGGGUCAGCGCAAGCGAAGCUCCUGAUCGAAGCCCCGGUAAACGGCGGCCGUAACUAUAACGGUCCUAAGGUAGCGAAAUUCCUUGUCGGGUAAGUUCCGACCUGCACGAAUGGCGUAAUGAUGGCCAGGCUGUCUCCACCCGAGACUCAGUGAAAUUGAACUCGCUGUGAAGAUGCAGUGUACCCGCGGCAAGACGGAAAGACCCCGUGAACCUUUACUAUAGCUUGACACUGAACAUUGAGCCUUGAUGUGUAGGAUAGGUGGGAGGCUUUGAAGUGUGGACGCCAGUCUGCAUGGAGCCGACCUUGAAAUACCACCCUUUAAUGUUUGAUGUUCUAACGUGGACCCGUUACCCGGGUUGCGGACAGUGUCUGGUGGGUAGUUUGACUGGGGCGGUCUCCUCCUAAAGAGUAACGGAGGAGCACGAAGGUUGGCUAAUCCUGGUCGGACAUCAGGAGGUUAGUGCAAUGGCAUAAGCCAGCUUGACUGCGAGCGUGACGGCGCGAGCAGGUGCGAAAGCAGGUCAUAGUGAUCCGGUGGUUCUGAAUGGAAGGGCCAUCGCUCAACGGAUAAAAGGUACUCCGGGGAUAACAGGCUGAUACCGCCCAAGAGUUCAUAUCGACGGCGGUGUUUGGCACCUCGAUGUCGGCUCAUCACAUCCUGGGGCUGAAGUAGGUCCCAAGGGUAUGGCUGUUCGCCAUUUAAAGUGGUACGCGAGCUGGGUUUAGAACGUCGUGAGACAGUUCGGUCCCUAUCUGCCGUGGGCGCUGGAGAACUGAGGGGGGCUGCUCCUAGUACGAGAGGACCGGAGUGGACGCAUCACUGGUGUUCGGGUUGUCAUGCCAAUGGCACUGCCCGGUAGCUAAAUGCGGAAGAGAUAAGUGCUGAAAGCAUCUAAGCACGAAACUUGCCCCGA
Molecule: ribosomal RNA, 1547 nt
Filed under: Salmonella enterica subsp. enterica serovar Hadar
Lineage: Bacteria; Pseudomonadati; Pseudomonadota; Gammaproteobacteria; Enterobacterales; Enterobacteriaceae
Description: partial 23S ribosomal RNA
Rfam family: Bacterial large subunit ribosomal RNA
Source: RNAcentral